GGGGAAUCUUAGACAAUGGACGCAAGUCUGAACCAGCCAUGCCGCGUGGAGGAUGAAGGUCCUCUGGAUUGUAAACUUCUUUUAUUUGGGAAGAAAGGCAUUUUUUCUAAAGUGUUUGACGGUACCAGAUGAAUAAGCACCGGCUAACUACGUGCCAGCAGCCGCGGUAAUACGUAGGUGGCAAGCGUUGUCCGGAUUUAUUGGGUUUAAAGGGUGCGUAGGCGGUCCUAUAAGUCAGUUGUGAAAUACGGCAGCUUAACUGUCGAGGUGCAAUUGAUACUGCAGGACUUGAGUACAGACGAGGUAGGCGGAAUUGACGGUGUAGCGGUGAAAUGCUUAGAUAUCGUCAAGAACACCGAUAGCGAAGGCAGCUUACUAGACUGUAACUGACGCUGAUGCACGAAAGCGUGGGGAGCAAA
This 419-nucleotide ribosomal RNA is filed under the name uncultured bacterium. RNAcentral describes it as "bacterial SSU rRNA". It matches the Rfam family "Bacterial small subunit ribosomal RNA", at positions 356 to 772 of the family's 1533-position model. The record is from RNAcentral.